This 75-nucleotide transfer RNA is filed under the name Pseudomonadota bacterium. RNAcentral describes it as "tRNA-Thr". It matches the Rfam family "tRNA". Rfam says of the family: Transfer RNA (tRNA) molecules are approximately 80 nucleotides in length. Their secondary structure includes four short double-helical elements and three loops (D, anti-codon, and T loops). The record is from RNAcentral. Lineage: Bacteria; Pseudomonadati; Pseudomonadota.
GCCGGGAUAGCUCAGUGUCAGAGCGGCGUUUUUGUAAAGCGUGGGUCGGAGGUUCGAUUCCUUCUCCCGGCACCA